RNAcentral lists this long non-coding RNA (1395 nucleotides) under Pogona vitticeps (central bearded dragon). Its description in RNAcentral is "lncRNA (ENSPVIG00000006003.1)". The record is from RNAcentral. Lineage: Eukaryota; Metazoa; Chordata; Lepidosauria; Squamata; Agamidae.
AGCAUGCAACCAGAACGAGGAGACUAGUUUUUCCUACACUAUGCCUCUGUGGGAGUGGGUUUGCCUAGUGCGCUUGCUUAACGGUGACGCAGCGCUUGGUGUGUUCUCAAGGGACCCUGUUUGGAAAAGGGCUCAGGGGCUGUGUUGAAGUCAAGCCAGCCUAGAUGAUGAGCUUUGCCCGGUGAUUCAGCAAAAGUCUCCUGUGCCAAUCCCAGCCAUCAGGCACGCUGCCCGCCGUGGCGCGCCGCGUCUGUUUCACAGCAGCAUCCGCAGAUGUCGGGGCGCGCUGCUGAUGGAAAGCUUGGCAUUCCUCGGAGGAUGGGGGCCUUCUCUGUUAAUAAUGACAGUUCAAAGCUCUGCCGAAGAGGGUCAUAAAUCUUUGAUAAGGACUGCUUAAUGUGCCAAGUUAAAGGAGGGAAAAGAAGAAGAAAAAGCCAGCUGGGUGCGAGGCUGCGGGGUUGCUCCCCUGAUGGAGAUGGACGAGCAAAUGCCAUCUGGUGUCACAGAUGCCCAAAGUCAGAGAGCUGUCUAGAACCACCAGGAUUCUGUUGGGCAGACGAGGGAGCUGGCUGUUACACAGGGAAUCUCUACAUUGGGAAUACAAAGAUUCAGUCUUUUGCUGGUUGUUUCCAGGACUGCAAAAGUGGGAAAUCCAAGUAUGGUUGGAUUUCCUGAGGUACAUCCAGAUGCAACUCUUACACAGCUCUCAACCACUUAUUUCCAUUGAGUCUUCUGAGGAACGUCUCCAAAACAGAGACUUUGAGGAGCAGCCGAGAUCCUCUGCUAUCAUGAAGCAGCCACCCUGUCCUCCUGGAAGCUCCUCUGAAAUGGGUCCGCACCUCGAGCAGUCCUCUGUUGGGAAGGCUGUGGGCCCUGAUCUCAACCCGUCUGCUUAGGAAAGCUAUUUUCUAAAGAUGAUUUUAAGUACAAAGAUGCUCCACCAACUUUUACAGACUCAGAAAAAUGAAUGAGACAACGUGAGCUCCUGUUUCUAUGGCAUCACAGGAAGAUUAACGGAAGCCCGUCGAAUCUUAUAGCACAUAAAUUCCAAUAAUGCACGCAUGAAAAUAGGGAAAUGUUGGGGAAAAGAUGAUUCUCACACUAAGAAUGGAUGUCAGGAGACAUGAGAAUCCUCUGCUGUCUCUUGUUUGCUCUGCAGGAUCCACAGUCAAUCCAGUGUUCUCUAUACAAGUGGAAAUAUGAGACACCAGAUGGCCAUCGGCCCUUCUGUAAGAGGCGGAUGGGAGCCGCAGCCUUAUACAUUUCUAUAGAUCUAGGUUGCCUGCUCCAAAUAUGGAAAGGGACCCUUGAGGACGUCUCUUUGAGCUUCCAAAAUUAAAACACCAAUAUAAAACCCACAGCUGGGAAACGUUCUUACUUUGUUGUCAAUGUGCU